GAUGAACGCUGGCGGCGCGCCUAACACAUGCAAGUCGAACGGCACCUAUCUUCGGAUAGAAGCGAGUGGCGAACGGCUGAGGAACACGUGGAGAACCUGCCCCCCUCCCCCGGGAUAGCCGCCCGAAAGGACGGGUAAUACCGGAUACCCCCGGGCGCCGCAUGGCGCCCGGGCUAAAGCCCCGACGGGAGGGGAUGGCUCCGCGGCCCAUCAGGUAGACGGCGGGGUGACGGCCCACCGUGCCGACAACGGGUAGCCGGGUUGAGAGACCGACCGGCCAGAUUGGGACUGAGACACGGCCCAGACUCCUACGGGAGGCAGCAGUGGGGAAUCUUGCGCAAUGGGGGGAACCCUGACGCAGCGGCGCCGCGUGCGGGACGGAGGCCUUCGGGUCGUAAACCGCUUUCAGCAGGGAAGAGUCAAGACUGUACCUGCAGAAGAAGCCCCGGCUAACUACGUGCCAGCAGCCGCGGUAAUACGUAGGGGGCGAGCGUUAUCCGGAUUCAUUGGGCGUAAAGCGCGCGUAGGCGGCCCGGCAGGCCGGGGGUCGAAGCGGGGGGCUCAACCCCCCGAAGCCCCCGGAACCUCCGCGGCUUGGGUCCGGUAGGAGAGGGUGGAACACCCGGUGUAGCGGUGGAAUGCGCAGAUAUCGGGUGGAACACCGGUGGCGAAGGCGGCCCUCUGGGCCGAGACCGACGCUGAGGCGCGAAAGCUGGGGGAGCGAACAGGAUUAGAUACCCUGGUAGUCCCAGCCGUAAACGAUGGGACGCUAGGGGUGGGGGGACGAUCCCCCCCGUGCCGCAGCCAACGCAUUAAGCGUCCCGCCUGGGGAGUACGGCCGCAAGGCUAAAACUCAAAGGAAUUGACGGGGGCCCGCACAAGCAGCGGAGCAUGUGGCUUAAUUCGAAGCAACGCGAAGAACCUUACCAGGGCUUGACAUAUGGGUGAAGCGGGGGAGACCCCGUGGCCGAGAGGAGCCCAUACAGGUGGUGCAUGGCUGUCGUCAGCUCGUGUCGUGAGAUGUUGGGUUAAGUCCCGCAACGAGCGCAACCCCCGCCGCGUGUUGCCAUCGGGUGAUGCCGGGAACCCACGCGGGACCGCCGCCGUCAAGGCGGAGGAGGGCGGGGACGACGUCAAGUCAUCAUGCCCCUUAUGCCCUGGGCUGCACACGUGCUACAAUGGCCGGUACAGAGGGAUGCCACCCCGCGAGGGGGAGCGGAUCCCGGAAAGCCGGCCCCAGUUCGGAUUGGGGGCUGCAACCCGCCCCCAUGAAGUCGGAGUUGCUAGUAAUCGCGGAUCAGCAUGCCGCGGUGAAUGCGUUCCCGGGCCUUGUAAAGACCGCCCGUC
This 1347-nucleotide ribosomal RNA is filed under the name uncultured bacterium. RNAcentral's name for it is "bacterial SSU rRNA". It matches the Rfam family "Bacterial small subunit ribosomal RNA", at positions 28 to 1398 of the family's 1533-position model. The record is from RNAcentral.